AGCGGCGGACGGGUGAGUAACGCGUGGGUAACCUGCCUCAUACAGGGGGAUAACAGUUGGAAACGGCUGCUAAUACCGCAUAAGCGCACAGUACCGCAUGGUACCGUGUGAAAAACUCCGGUGGUAUGAGAUGGACCCGCGUCUGAUUAGGUAGUUGGUGGGGUAACGGCCCACCAAGCCGACGAUCAGUAGCCGACCUGAGAGGGUGACCGGCCACAUUGGGACUGAGACACGGCCCAA
RNAcentral lists this ribosomal RNA (240 nucleotides) under uncultured bacterium. Its description in RNAcentral is "partial 16S ribosomal RNA". It matches the Rfam family "Bacterial small subunit ribosomal RNA", at positions 94 to 334 of the family's 1533-position model. The record is from RNAcentral.